CUACGGGUUGCUGCAGUGGGGGAUAUUGCACAAUGGGCGCAAGCCUGAUGCAGCCAUGCCGCGUGUAUGAAGAAGGCCUUCGGGUUGUAAAGUACUUUCAGCGGGGAGGAAGGGAGUAAAGUUAAUACCUUUGCUCAUUGACGUUACCCGCAGAAGAAGCACCGGCUAACUCCGUGCCAGCAGCCGCGGUAAUACGGAGGGGGCGAGCGUUAAUCGGAAUUACUGGGCGUAAAGCGCACGCAGGCGGUUUGUUAAGUCAGAUGUGAAAUCCCCGGGCGCAACCUGGGAACGGCAUCUGAUACUGGCAAGCUUGAGUCUCGUAGAGGGGGGUAGAAUUCCAGGUGUAGCGGUGAAAUGCGUAGAGAUCUGGAGGAAUACCGGUGGCGAAGGCGGCCCCCUGGACGAAGACUGACGCUCAGGUGCGAAAGCGUGGGGAGCAAACAGGAUUAGAUACCCCGGUAGUC
This 464-nucleotide ribosomal RNA is filed under the name uncultured bacterium. RNAcentral describes it as "partial 16S ribosomal RNA". It matches the Rfam family "Bacterial small subunit ribosomal RNA", at positions 339 to 795 of the family's 1533-position model. The record is from RNAcentral.